AUGGCCGAAGCCAAUGACCCCGCCACCUUCUCCGUCACCGCCGCAGCCGCCGAAACUGCGGCGCGGCCGACCAAAAACUCGAAGGCAGCCGCGACAGGUCAGGCUGACGACUCGCAGCUAGGGCCGGCCACGUCCUCCAACAGCCAAGGAGCCUCGACCACGGCCUUUCCUCCACCUCCGCCGCCGCCACCGCCGGCCGUGGAGGAAUAUUUGGCCACGCCGACGGUGACCGCCUCCAACAUGUUCGAUGGAAUGCCGCAAAGUUGUAGUCUUGAUGACGAAGCUUUUUUGCACGCGACAAAUGUGGCAAAUGAUGAUUUUGUGUCACACGAGUAUAUGUCACAAGAAUAUGAAACCCAAUAUGGUGAUGACAAUCUUAACAUGGACGAUGAGGGAUUUGUUGCGAAGGGAAGAAGUGGAAAUUAUACCAAUGCGGAGGAUGUGUUGAUAUGCACCGCAUGGAAGAAAGUCUCUCAAGAUGCAUCCAUUGGAAGCGACCAAACGGUUAACACCUAUUGGCAACGCAUCAAGGAUUACUUCGAUGAGCGCAACACAAGUGGUCACUUCCGUUCGAGCGACUCUAUGCCAACGUUGGUCCACUAUCAACGCCGAAUGCCAAAAAAAAUGAUUGCCCAAGGAUUGUUUCGAGAGCGGAACAUGAAAGAUGAGAAGAAGAAAAGGAAAGGAAAAGCUUUCACUUUUCAUCAUUGCUUCAAAGAGCUCAAGGAUGAGGAGAAGUGGAAAACUAGAGAAACUUUUGAUGCUUCAAAGAAGAAGAGUGUGGAGAAAAGGGCGGCGGCCGACGAGAGGUUGUCGGCCGCCGAGGAGAGGAAGGUGGAACUAGAGGAGAAAAAGUCCGCGGCCGAGGAGAUGAAGAUGGUCGAGGAGAAGGCACUCAAUGGCACCGCACCGCGUGGGUUCUCUCUCCUCUCCCUUGUCCCUCUCAACCCCACACCCCAACCAAUCUUUCCCACUCCGCCGCUCCACCCAAUCCCGCCGCCGAUGCCUCCUCCACCCCGAAACAACGGCGACAGGGACGCCGGUGCCCUCACCCGCCUUCCACCUCCCCUAGCUCAUCUUCUCGCCGAUCGAUUUGGAGGAGCCUCCUUUCGGGCGCCACCGUGGUCGGGCUGCGGCGACCACCAGAGAUCCGCCGCCGGCAGGAGCUCCCUCCUUCUCUACCACGAGGAACCGGAAGAGGAGGAUGAGUCCUCCUUUUACCCCUAG
Molecule: ribosomal RNA, 1227 nt
Filed under: Triticum aestivum (bread wheat)
Lineage: Eukaryota; Viridiplantae; Streptophyta; Magnoliopsida; Poales; Poaceae
Description: partial small subunit ribosomal RNA
Source: RNAcentral